Molecule: long non-coding RNA, 2064 nt
Organism: Paramormyrops kingsleyae
Lineage: Eukaryota; Metazoa; Chordata; Actinopteri; Osteoglossiformes; Mormyridae
Source: RefSeq, a predicted model, not a curated record
CAAAGAUGUACAGAAUUAACAGAUAUAGUAACUGCUUGGGAUAAUGAUGAACGACCAUGAGAUCAGUAUGACUAAGACAUAAUUUGUGGUUAAUUAAUACAUAAGUAAUAGCAAUGAAUGUUAUGAACAUUAUUUAUUUUAUUUUUUUGUCCCGCCACCACCUCCCCUCGUUGGAGGACAACUUUAUAUUUAUUUCCAAUUGUGUAUAAACAAAAAUUUCUCCAAACAAGCCCACAUCACCCCAUCCCUAAUAUUGUGAAAUAAAGUGAAAACAGUAACAAGCAAAAUAACUGAUGGCAAGUUGAACAGAAUUAAACUGAUUGUAUAGAUGGAUGCAGACGGGCAGACAGAUGGACAGGCAAAUACAGACGACAGACAGAGACAUUAACAGCCAUACACACAGGCAAAUCAAUGGACGGCUAAACAGACAAUUUAGACAGAAAAACAUUAAACAGGCAAAGACACACAUAUAAACAGGCAAGUAUAUAGUUAUAUCGUGUACUAUUCGAGUACAAAGGUCUAUAGAGAAGACUGGUUACUGUUGGGGAGGAGGGAGAAAGAGAGAGAAAGAGAAGAAGGGAGAGAGAGAGAGAGAGAGAGAAAGAAAGAUAAGUUAUAUGAGCUAGGAUAAUGACCAGGCAUAAGUUGAGAAUAGUAGUUAUGAGGAAUGUAAGUGGUUCAGUUAUUAUUAUUAUGAACAUUAUUUGUGCCCCUCGAGUAAAGUGUUCCUGAAUUUACUAACACAAAAAAUGCAGAACAAUAUACCCAGGUCAGAAGGUGUACUGCAAAUAUGACUUCCCUGGUUCAUUCUUACUAAUAUUUAGGAUGGUUAGAGUUUAAAUGUAAUACAUCCAUAACUUUUGAGGGUAAGCCCAGUUUCAGGAAACCCAGUUUUAAACCCCAGUUUAGUAUAUAUUUUCACACAAAUCUUUGACAAAUCUAGCCUAGAUACACGAGAGGUCAGUGUUCCUCUGGAUCUAGGAAAUGAAGACUUGCUGCUCCCACAGCUUGUCAUUCCAUGGCCAUGAGAAGGGCAGCCUGUAAUGUUCCCAUGGUUCUCUUUACAAACUGUACAAUCCAGUAAUGACCUUCGGCAAGACCCCAGCUGAGUACACCAGCAGUGGGCUGUGAGCCAACACUAGGUGUUUCUCUUGCAGUGUUUAUAUGUUUAAAUAAUAUUACCCAGUAGGAUUUAUUGCAAUGGAUAUAAUUAAUAUAAGAAAAAAAAACAGUCAGCUUUCUUGGCUUGCUUGGAUGUUAGUAAAAUUAUAUUUGGUACUGACUUGAAAAACUCAAAAGACUUCAGUCAUUACCUUGUCAAGCAGGAGGGACUCUACGACUUGAAAAUUAGGGCUCAGCAACUAAACAUAGUAGACAUAUUUUGCAGUGGGUUACUUUAGAUUCAAUUAAUGGAAACAUUUUUUUUUUCUAAUUUACAGUGACAGAGAAACGCAGUUCAUCCAGAUUCGAUCUAACCGCAAACUACAGCGCGCGAGACGCGCUUUUAAAUUCAGUGAAAAAGGCGAGAGAUUGUCUGAGGUACAGAUUAUUCGUGCUGGUGAAGUUAGGCCAUUGGGUUGGAACAGACGACUCCCCUUCGUUGGGGUUCCUGUAGGGAGACAGCCAAUCAGGUGGAGAUCUGGUGAAUUUCUAAUAUCUUACUGACUUACGGUUCAGUGUGGUGAAAGGGUUGGUUGAUAGACGGGACAUCUAAGCCGGUGAACAUGUGGCCGUCACAGUUGUUGAUACCAGCAAUGUAGUCGACGUUGGCAGCAUUGGGGAAGAGGUUGGCAGGGUCAUCAGGAAGGAAGUCACCAUCCACCACCGGGGAUAGGACAAGGUGGAACACAACUGGGUCUGCAGAAGCAGGCGAUACAUCGGGCUAACAACACAAAGCCAGAGCAAGAUCAUGACCAUGUGACCAAGAUUGUUUUUUGUAGUUGUCAUGUGACAACUGUAUCUUUUGUCACAUUCUGAGAAUUUUUUUCACAGAAUGUUGUAUCCCCUAUGAUGACUACAUUGAAAUAAAUCACUAGCUAGCACUUUGAGCUGGCACAUACCUUC